Molecule: ribosomal RNA, 567 nt
Filed under: uncultured bacterium
Lineage: Bacteria
Description: bacterial SSU rRNA
Rfam family: Bacterial small subunit ribosomal RNA
Source: RNAcentral
AACGCGUGGGAAUGUACCCUUCUCUAUGGAAUAGCCUCGGGAAACUGAGAGUAAUACCAUAUACGCCCUUCGGGGGAAAGAUUUAUCGGAGAAGGAUCAGCCCGCGUAAGAUUAGAUAGUUGGUGGGGUAAUGGCCUACCAAGUCUACGAUCUUUAGCUGGUUUUAGAGGAUGAUCAGCAACACUGGGACUGAGACACGGCCCAGACUCCUACGGGAGGCAGCAGUGGGGAAUCUUAGACAAUGGGCGCAAGCCUGAUCUAGCCAUGCCGCGUGUGUGAUGAAGGCCUUAGGGUCGUAAAGCACUUUCGCCAGGGAUGAUAAUGACAGUACCUGGUAAAGAAACCCCGGCUAACUCCGUGCCAGCAGCCGCGGUAAUACGGAGGGGGUUAGCGUUGUUCGGAAUUACUGGGCGUAAAGCGCACGUAGGCGGAUCAGAAAGUUGGGGGUGAAAUCCCAGGGCUCAACCCUGGAACUGCCUCCAAAACUCCUGGUCUUGAGUUCGAGAGAGGUGAGUGGAAUUCCGAGUGUAGAGGUGAAAUUCGUAGAUAUUCGGAGGAACACCAGUG